AUGUGCAAAUUCACAAAUAAGAAAGGAAUUACUGGAGGUACACAGUCCUCUGCCACAAAACCAGUAACACAGGCGCAUGGGAGCAUAUUACAAACAUUCGCCCUGAAAAAUCGUCAUCAACACCAAAAAUUGUAUUUUAGGACACAGACAUUAAGAAUAUGCUGCCCUAAAACACGCUCUUUAUCUCAGAGACAGCAUGAGUGUGUACCAUGUGAUGGAGCAGUUGCUAUGGUAAUGUUCUUUAUUGAAUGGCGGACUAAACAAGUGCAUAAAACCCAUUUACAGAACAGCAUGUACAACUCCACGAAACUCACACAGCACGCCAGCACAGGGUUUCAGGUCCACGCAAAAGCAGAGCCACCGGACCGUGGCUGUAUUCGGCACGCAGCUGGCUGUCCCCAGGCACACACCGCAGCAGGGCACGGGGCCAGGCUCGCGGGUGGGACGCGUUCCACUGCAGGGUUUUCCUUUGCCGGAUGCAAGGUGAGCAGCCGGUGCCCUGCACACGGUGCCCGGUGGGGUGCAGGCACAUCUCCACACAGCAGCAUGGCCUUGCCCACCGCCUGUGAGUGGCACAGAUACCCUGUGGUGCUCAGGGCGGCCAAAGAACAGCGCUGCUCCCUGGGUCGCUGGGUGGCGCGGAGCAGUCAGCAGAACCCUGCGGGCCGCAGGAGCCAGGGGACAGCUGAGGUUCAGUUGCUCUGGAAUGGAAACAAGCACAGCACCGAGUGGCCGCAGACACCGGGCAGGGCGGGGUGUGAAGCGGGGUGUGUGGUGGCAGGAGGACGGCACAGCCUGCAGAACGGCACAGCCUGCAGAACGGCACAGCUUGCAGAACAGCACGGCCUGCAGAACCCGGGCACAGCCUGCAGAACGGCACAGCGGGACACAGCUCUGCACUGGGCGCACCGCCCGCGGCACAAAGCACAGAGAUGCUUCUCUCAAGUCCUACACGGGGUGGGCACAAAACUUUGCAUUCUGCCAUCAUUUCCAAAACUUGUUUGCUAA
RNAcentral lists this long non-coding RNA (1008 nucleotides) under Meleagris gallopavo (turkey). Its description in RNAcentral is "lncRNA (ENSMGAG00000021411.1)". Lineage: Eukaryota; Metazoa; Chordata; Aves; Galliformes; Phasianidae. The record is from RNAcentral.